This 308-nucleotide ribosomal RNA is filed under the name uncultured eukaryote. Its description in RNAcentral is "partial 18S ribosomal RNA". It matches the Rfam family "Eukaryotic small subunit ribosomal RNA", at positions 1470 to 1796 of the family's 1831-position model. The record is from RNAcentral.
CCCUUAGAUGUUCUGGGCCGCACGCGUGCUACACUGAGUGGAUCAGCGGGUCAGGUUGCGCGAAAGCGUUUCCUAAUCUUUAAAUCCGCUCGUGAUGGGGAUUGACGGUUGCAAUUUUCUGUCAUGAACGAGGAAUACCUUGUAAUCGCGGUUUAUCAGCCCGCGUUGAAUGCGUCCCUGCCCUUUGUACACACCGCCCGUCGCUCCUACCGAUGAAUCGUCCGGUGAAGUUCAUGGAGGGGCGGUUGUUUCAACUGCCGUUGAAGUGAAAUGGACCUCACGAUUUAGAGGAAGGAGAAGUCGUAACA